GCUACGGACAAAGGGUUGCAAGCUCGCGAGAGUUAGCUAAUCCCAUAAACCGUGGCUCAGUUCAGAUCGUAGGCUGCAACUCGCCUACGUGAAGGAGGAAUCGCUAGUAAUCGCAGGUCAGCAUACUGCGGUGAAUACGUUCCCGGGCCUUGUACACACCGCCCGUCACACCAUGGAAGUUGGCCAUGCCCGAAGUCGUUACUCCAACCCUUGUGGAGGAGGACGCCGAAGGUGGGGCUGAUGACUGGGGUGAAGUCGUAACAAGGUAGCCGUACCGGAAGGUGCGGCUGGAUCACCUCCUAA
RNAcentral lists this ribosomal RNA (303 nucleotides) under Cyanobium gracile. RNAcentral's name for it is "partial 16S ribosomal RNA". It matches the Rfam family "Bacterial small subunit ribosomal RNA", at positions 1229 to 1533 of the family's 1533-position model. The record is from RNAcentral. Lineage: Bacteria; Bacillati; Cyanobacteriota; Cyanophyceae; Synechococcales; Prochlorococcaceae.